Molecule: ribosomal RNA, 1489 nt
Filed under: Lactiplantibacillus plantarum
Lineage: Bacteria; Bacillati; Bacillota; Bacilli; Lactobacillales; Lactobacillaceae
Description: bacterial SSU rRNA
Rfam family: Bacterial small subunit ribosomal RNA
Source: RNAcentral
GACGAACGCUGGCGGCGUGCCUAAUACAUGCAAGUCGAACGAACUCUGGUAUUGAUUGGUGCUUGCAUCAUGAUUUACAUUUGAGUGAGUGGCGAACUGGUGAGUAACACGUGGGAAACCUGCCCAGAAGCGGGGGAUAACACCUGGAAACAGAUGCUAAUACCGCAUAACAACUUGGACCGCAUGGUCCGAGUUUGAAAGAUGGCUUCGGCUAUCACUUUUGGAUGGUCCCGCGGCGUAUUAGCUAGAUGGUGGGGUAACGGCUCACCAUGGCAAUGAUACGUAGCCGACCUGAGAGGGUAAUCGGCCACAUUGGGACUGAGACACGGCCCAAACUCCUACGGGAGGCAGCAGUAGGGAAUCUUCCACAAUGGACGAAAGUCUGAUGGAGCAACGCCGCGUGAGUGAAGAAGGGUUUCGGCUCGUAAAACUCUGUUGUUAAAGAAGAACAUAUCUGAGAGUAACUGUUCAGGUAUUGACGGUAUUUAACCAGAAAGCCACGGCUAACUACGUGCCAGCAGCCGCGGUAAUGCGUAGGUGGCAAGCGUUGUCCGGAUUUAUUGGGCGUAAAGCGAGCGCAGGCGGUUUUUUAAGUCUGAUGUGAAAGCCUUCGGCUUAACCGAAGAAGUGCAUCGGAAACUGGGAAACUUGAGUGCAGAAGAGGACAGUGGAACUCCAUGUGUAGCGGUGAAAUGCGUAGAUAUAUGGAAGAACACCAGUGGCGAAGGCGGCUGUCUGGUCUGUAACUGACGCUGAGGCUCGAAAGUAUGGGUAGCAAACAGGAUUAGAUACCCUGGUAGUCCAUACCGUAAACGAUGAAUGCUAAGUGUUGGAGGGUUUCCGCCCUUCAGUGCUGCAGCUAACGCAUUAAGCAUUCCGCCUGGGGAGUACGGCCGCAAGGCUGAAACUCAAAGGAAUUGACGGGGGCCCGCACAAGCGGUGGAGCAUGUGGUUUAACUCGAAGCUACGCGAAGAACCUUACCAGGUCUUGACAUACUAUGCAAAUCUAAGAGAUUAGACGUUCCCUUCGGGGACAUGGAUACAGGUGGUGCAUGGUUGUCGUCAGCUCGUGUCGUGAGAUGUUGGGUUAAGUCCCGCAACGAGCGCAACCCUUAUUAUCAGUUGCCAGCAUUAAGUUGGGCACUCUGGUGAGACUGCCGGUGACAAACCGGAGGAAGGUGGGGAUGACGUCAAAUCAUCAUGCCCCUUAUGACCUGGGCUACACACGUGCUACAAUGGAUGGUACAACGAGUUGCGAACUCGCGAGAGUAAGCUAAUCUCUUAAAGCCAUUCUCAGUUCGGAUUGUAGGCUGCAACUCGCCUACAUGAAGUCGGAAUCGCUAGUAAUCGCGGAUCAGCAUGCCGCGGUGAAUACGUUCCCGGGCCUUGUACACACCGCCCGUCACACCAUGAGAGUUUGUAACACCCAAAGUCGGUGGGGUAACCUUUUAGGGACCAGCCGCCUAAGGUGGGACAGAUGAUUAGGGUG